GAUGAACGCUGGCGGCGUGCCUAAUACAUGCAAGUCGAGCGAACAGACGAGGAGCUUGCUCCUCUGACGUUAGUGGCGGACGGGUGAGUAACACGUGGAUAACCUACCUAUAAGACUGGGAUAACUUCGGGAAGCCGGAGCUAAUACCGGAUAAUAUAUUGAACCGCAUGGUUCAAUAGUGAAAGACGGUUUUGCUGUCACUUAUAGAUGGAUCCGCGCCGCAUUAGCUAGUUGGUAAGGUAACGGCUUACCAAGGCGACGAUGCGUAGCCGACCUGAGAGGGUGAUCGGCCACACUGGAACUGAGACACGGUCCAGACUCCUACGGGAGGCAGCAGUAGGGAAUCUUCCGCAAUGGGCGAAAGCCUGACGGAGCAACGCCGCGUGAGUGAUGAAGGUCUUCGGAUCGUAAAACUCUGUUAUUAGGGAAGAACAAAUGUGUAAGUAACUAUGCACGUCUUGACGGUACCUAAUCAGAAAGCCACGGCUAACUACGUG
Molecule: ribosomal RNA, 497 nt
Filed under: uncultured bacterium
Lineage: Bacteria
Description: partial 16S ribosomal RNA
Rfam family: Bacterial small subunit ribosomal RNA
Source: RNAcentral